RNAcentral lists this ribosomal RNA (446 nucleotides) under uncultured bacterium. RNAcentral's name for it is "partial 16S ribosomal RNA". It matches the Rfam family "Bacterial small subunit ribosomal RNA", at positions 329 to 792 of the family's 1533-position model. The record is from RNAcentral.
UUCCAGACUCCUACGGGAGGCAGCAGUGGGGGAUAUUGCACAAUGGGGGGAACCCUGAUGCAGCGACGCCGCGUGAACGAAGAAAUAUUUCGGUAUGUAAAGUUCUAUCAGCAGGGAAGAAAAUGACAGUACCUGACCAAGAAGCCCCGGCUAACUACGUGCCAGCAGCCGCGGUAAUACGUAGGGGGCAAGCGUUAUCCGGAUUUACUGGGUGUAAAGGGGGCGCAGACGGCAGCGCAAGCCAGGAGUGAAAGCCCGGGGCCCAACCCCGGGACUGCUCUUGGAACUGCGCGGCUGGAGUGCAGGAGGGGCAGGCGGAAUUCCUGGUGUAGCGGUGAAAUGCGUAGAUAUCAGGAGGAACACCGGCGGCGAAGGCGGCCUGCUGGACCGUAACUGACGUUGAGGCUCGAAAGCGUGGGGAGCAAACAGGAUUAGAUACCCUCGUA